AACGGCCGUACCAUGCUGAAUAUACCGGUUCUCGUUGGAUCAUCGAAGUUAAGCAUCAUUGGGCGCGGUCAGUACUUGGGUGGGUGACCACCUGGGAACACUGCGUGCCGUU
Molecule: ribosomal RNA, 112 nt
Filed under: Caerostris darwini
Lineage: Eukaryota; Metazoa; Arthropoda; Arachnida; Araneae; Araneidae
Source: RNAcentral